RNAcentral lists this ribosomal RNA (468 nucleotides) under uncultured bacterium. RNAcentral describes it as "partial 16S ribosomal RNA". It matches the Rfam family "Bacterial small subunit ribosomal RNA", at positions 28 to 507 of the family's 1533-position model. The record is from RNAcentral.
GACGAACGCUGGCGGCGUGCUUAACACAUGCAAGUCGAACGGAAAGGCCCUGCUUUUGUGGGGUGCUCGAGUGGCGAACGGGUGAGUAACACGUGAGUAACCUUCCCUUGACUUUGGGAUAACUUCAGGAAACUGGGGCUAAUACCGGCUAGGAGCUCCUGCUGCAUGGUGGGGGUCGGAAAGUUUCGGCGGUUGGGGAUGGACUCGCGGCUUAUUAGCUUGUUGGUGGGGUAGUGGCUUACCAAGGCUUUGACGGGUAGCCGGCCUGAGAGGGUGACCGGCCACAUUGGGACUGAGAUACGGCCCAGACUCCUACGGGAGGCAGCAGUGGGGAAUAUUGCACAAUGGGCGGAAGCCUGAUGCAGCAACGCCGCGUGCGGGAUGACGGCCUUCGGGUUGUAAACCGCUUUCGCCUGUGACGAAGCGUGAGUGACGGUAAUGGGUAAAGAAGCACCGGCUAACUACGUG